Molecule: ribosomal RNA, 433 nt
Filed under: uncultured bacterium
Lineage: Bacteria
Description: partial 16S ribosomal RNA
Rfam family: Bacterial small subunit ribosomal RNA
Source: RNAcentral
AACGAACGCUGGCGGCAUGCCUAACACAUGCAAGUCGAACGAGACCUUCGGGUCUAGUGGCGCACGGGUGCGUAACGCGUGGGAACCUGCCCUUAGGUUCGGAAUAACUCCCCGAAAGGGGUGCUAAUACCGGAUAAUGUCUUCGGACCAAAGAUUUAUCGCCUUUGGAUGGGCCCGCGUUGGAUUAGCUAGUUGGUAGGGUAAAAGCCUACCAAGGCGACGAUCCAUAGCUGGUCUGAGAGGAUGAUCAGCCACACUGGGACUGAGACACGGCCCAGACUCCUACGGGAGGCAGCAGUGGGGAACAUUGGAAAAUGGGCGAAGGCCUGAUCCAGCAAUGCCGCGUGAGUGAUGAAGGCCUUAGGGUUGUAAAGCUCUUUUAACCGGGAUGAUAAUGACAGUACCGGGAGAAUAAGCUCCGGCUAACUCCGUG